AUUGAACGCUGGCGGCAGGCCUAACACAUGCAAGUCGAACGAGUGGCGGACGGGUGAGUAAUGUCUGGGAAACUGCCUGAUGGAGGGGGAUAACUACUGGAAACGGUAGCUAAUACCGCAUACCAUCGGAUGUGCCCAGAUGGGAUUAGCUAGUAGGUGGGGUAAAGGCUCACCUAGGCGACGAUCCCUAGCUGGUCUGAGAGGAUGACCAGCCACACUGGAACUGAGACGCGGUCCAUACUCCUACGGGUGGGAGCAGGGGCGAAUAUUGAACAGUGGGCGCAAUCCGGAUGCAGCCAUGCCGCGUGUAUGAAGAAGGCCUCCGGGUUGUAAAGUAUUUUCAGCGGGGAGGCGUUACCCGCAGAAGAAGCACCGGCUAACUACGUGCCAGCAGCCGCGGUAAUAC
Molecule: ribosomal RNA, 406 nt
Filed under: uncultured bacterium
Lineage: Bacteria
Description: partial 16S ribosomal RNA
Rfam family: Bacterial small subunit ribosomal RNA
Source: RNAcentral